Molecule: long non-coding RNA, 544 nt
Organism: Nanorana parkeri
Lineage: Eukaryota; Metazoa; Chordata; Amphibia; Anura; Dicroglossidae
Exons: 2
Source: RefSeq, a predicted model, not a curated record
UUCCUCUACAGCAAGCUAGUCCUGUGUCCAAGCCAAAGUAUUCAGGCCUUUGUUUUGGAUGUUUUGCUGUAAAACAGAGUGCUAGUAAAAUGAAUUAGUUCCAUAUUCCACAUGUGAUGUAAACUACUAGGAUGGGGUUCCUUCUAUAGGACCCCUUUAGGGAUGGGAUGUUCCCGUGGUAAUAUGGAUUUUAAACUAGUCAACAGUUUUAUUCCAACUUUACUCUUGAAGAAAACCCCACUUUUAAAAUCUUAUUCUGGUGUCCUUGAUUCCAAGUUAGACUUGAAUGCUCAAAUCUACUGGCUGAAAUGCCGUUUAAUAAACAAUAAUUUCCUAUUGGCAUUUAAAUGUUCACUUUUUUUUUUCUUGUACUUCAGUUACUCUGGUAUUUCAUUACCAAAAAUAAAACGCUAUUUGAGUAAUUAAAACGUCCUUCACCAUUAGGAAUCUUGUUUGUAUUGCUCAUUAGUCUCUAGAGUGUGGCCUCUGGUUUCUUUUAAUCCUUGUAUUGUAUUUCAGUUACAAAAAUAAAGAAACAUCAAAA